Molecule: ribosomal RNA, 470 nt
Filed under: uncultured bacterium
Lineage: Bacteria
Description: partial 16S ribosomal RNA
Rfam family: Bacterial small subunit ribosomal RNA
Source: RNAcentral
GACGAACGCUGGCGGCGUGCUUAACACAUGCAAGUCGAACGAUGAAGCCUAGCUUGCUAGGUGGAUUAGUGGCGAACGGGUGAGUAAUACGUGAGUAACCUACCUUUAACUCUGGGAUAAGCCUGGGAAACUGGGUCUAAUACCGGAUACGACCAAUCUCCGCAUGGGGUGUUGGUGGAAAGCGUUAUGUAGUGGUUAUAGAUGGGCUCACGGCCUAUCAGCUUGUUGGUGAGGUAACGGCUCACCAAGGCGACGACGGGUAGCCGGCCUGAGAGGGUGACCGGCCACACUGGGACUGAGACACGGCCCAGACUCCUACGGGAGGCAGCAGUGGGGAAUAUUGCACAAUGGGCGCAAGCCUGAUGCAGCGACGCCGCGUGAGGGAUGACGGCCUUCGGGUUGUAAACCUCUGUAGCAGGGAAGAAGAGAAAUUGACGGUACCUGCAGAGAAAGCGCCGGCUAACUACGUG